GUCUCCACCCGAGACUCAGUGAAAUUGAACUCGCUGUGAAGAUGCAGUGUACCCGCGGCUAGACGGAAAGACCCCGUGAACCUUUACUAUAGCUUGACACUGAACAUUGAGCCUUGAUGUGUAGGAUAGGUGGGAGGCUUUGAAGCGUGGACGCCAGUCUGCGUGGAGCCAACCUUGAAAUACCACCCUUUAAUGUUUGAUGUUCUAACGUUGGCCCCUUACCGGGGUUGCGGACAGUGUCUGGUGGGUAGUUUGACUGGGGCGGUCUCCUCCCAAAGCGUAACGGAGGAGCACGAAGGUUAGCUAAUCCUGGUCGGACAUCAGGAGGUUAGUGC
This 335-nucleotide ribosomal RNA is filed under the name Acinetobacter baumannii. Its description in RNAcentral is "partial 23S ribosomal RNA". It matches the Rfam family "Bacterial large subunit ribosomal RNA", at positions 2018 to 2352 of the family's 2925-position model. The record is from RNAcentral. Lineage: Bacteria; Pseudomonadati; Pseudomonadota; Gammaproteobacteria; Moraxellales; Moraxellaceae.